GUGCCUGUGAUACUACGGAUCCCCGAUCGUCCGAGGCGAUGAGGCUUGAAGCGACGGAGAGGAGAGAGCAAGGUCUGGAGACCGCGCCGUUGAUACGGAGGGGAGAUAGCAACCGCCGGCAGCAAUGACGGUGGCGGAGAAGGGAAGCGGACGCCCCCUAGGUUAUCACCUCGGCGCCUUGCUCCAACGGUCGUUUCGAUUGCCCCACCGGACCGUGGUAUGUUACGCGUUAUAUAGAAGGGCAAGUCUCCGACUGCAAUGAGGCGUCACCACGGUGGUUGAUUGGAUCCGGAAGGGGAUUGGUGAG
RNAcentral lists this long non-coding RNA (307 nucleotides) under Phoenix dactylifera (date palm). Its description in RNAcentral is "long non-coding RNA (PDAC_LNC016363)". Lineage: Eukaryota; Viridiplantae; Streptophyta; Magnoliopsida; Arecales; Arecaceae. The record is from RNAcentral.